RNAcentral lists this ribosomal RNA (888 nucleotides) under Pseudomonas sp. RNAcentral's name for it is "bacterial SSU rRNA". It matches the Rfam family "Bacterial small subunit ribosomal RNA", at positions 61 to 944 of the family's 1533-position model. Lineage: Bacteria; Pseudomonadati; Pseudomonadota; Gammaproteobacteria; Pseudomonadales; Pseudomonadaceae. The record is from RNAcentral.
GUCGAGCGGUAGAGAGAAGCUUGCUUCUCUUGAGAGCGGCGGACGGGUGAGUAAUGCCUAGGAAUCUGCCUGAUAGUGGGGGAUAACGUUCGGAAACGGACGCUAAUACCGCAUACGUCCUACGGGAGAAAGCAGGGGACCUUCGGGCCUUGCGCUAUCAGAUGAGCCUAGGUCGGAUUAGCUAGUUGGUGAGGUAAUGGCUCACCAAGGCGACGAUCCGUAACUGGUCUGAGAGGAUGAUCAGUCACACUGGAACUGAGACACGGUCCAGACUCCUACGGGAGGCAGCAGUGGGGAAUAUUGGACAAUGGGCGAAAGCCUGAUCCAGCCAUGCCGCGUGUGUGAAGAAGGUCUUCGGAUUGUAAAGCACUUUAAGUUGGGAGGAAGGGCAUUAACCUAAUACGUUAGUGUUUUGACGUUACCGACAGAAUAAGCACCGGCUAACUCUGUGCCAGCAGCCGCGGUAAUACAGAGGGUGCAAGCGUUAAUCGGAAUUACUGGGCGUAAAGCGCGCGUAGGUGGUUUGUUAAGUUGGAUGUGAAAUCCCCGGGCUCAACCUGGGAACUGCAUUCAAAACUGACUGACUAGAGUAUGGUAGAGGGUGGUGGAAUUUCCUGUGUAGCGGUGAAAUGCGUAGAUAUAGGAAGGAACACCAGUGGCGAAGGCGACCACCUGGACUAAUACUGACACUGAGGUGCGAAAGCGUGGGGAGCAAACAGGAUUAGAUACCCUGGUAGUCCACGCCGUAAACGAUGUCAACUAGCCGUUGGAAGCCUUGAGCUUUUAGUGGCGCAGCUAACGCAUUAAGUUGACCGCCUGGGGAGUACGGCCGCAAGGUUAAAACUCAAAUGAAUUGACGGGGGCCCGCACAAGCGGUGGAGCAUGUGG